RNAcentral lists this ribosomal RNA (242 nucleotides) under Rhizophagus fasciculatus. Lineage: Eukaryota; Fungi; Glomeromycota; Glomeromycetes; Glomerales; Glomeraceae. The record is from RNAcentral.
CAGUCGCGUUCUCUGGGAUUCAGCCUUGCUUCUUGCUUGGUGCAUUUCCUAGUCUACGGGCCAGCAUGAAUCUUGAGCGGUGGAAAAGGGUUUGGGGAAUGUGGCACCUCCGGGUGUGUUAUAGACUCUGGUAGAUGUGACGGUUGGGAUUGAGGAUUGCAACGGAUACCCUUCGGGGCUACCCGUCUGAUCUCUGAAGGUUGCUCCGGGUACCGAAAGCGUGCUUACGGUCAUCGAAAGUG